RNAcentral lists this ribosomal RNA (484 nucleotides) under uncultured bacterium. RNAcentral describes it as "partial 16S ribosomal RNA". It matches the Rfam family "Bacterial small subunit ribosomal RNA", at positions 30 to 507 of the family's 1533-position model. The record is from RNAcentral.
AUUGAACGCUGGCGGCAGGCCUAACACAUGCAAGUCGAGCGGAUGAAGGGAGCUUGCUCCUGGAUUCAGCGGCGGACGGGUGAGUAAUGCCUAGGAAUCUGCCUGGUAGUGGGGGAUAACGUCCGGAAACGGGCGCUAAUACCGCAUACGUCCUGAGGGAGAAAGUGGGGGAUCUUCGGACCUCACGCUAUCAGAUGAGCCUAGGUCGGAUUAGCUAGUUGGUGGGGUAAAGGCCUACCAAGGCGACGAUCCGUAACUGGUCUGAGAGGAUGAUCAGUCACACUGGAACUGAGACACGGUCCAGACUCCUACGGGAGGCAGCAGUGGGGAAUAUUGGACAAUGGGCGAAAACCUGAUCCAGCCAUGCCGCGUGUGUGAAGAAGGUCUUCGGAUUGUAAAGCACUUUAAGUUGGGAGGAAGGGCAGUAAGUUAACACCUUGCUGUUUUGACGUUACCAACAGAAUAAGCACCGGCUAACUUCGUG